UCCGUAGGUGAACCUGCGGAAGGAUCAUUGUCGAUGCCUUACAAGCAGUCCAACACGUGAAUCAGUUUGAACACAUAGGGGUGGGUUGAGGUGUUAACCACCUCCGCCUACCUCAGGUUCAGAGGUGGACGACUCGUGCGUUCUCCUUUGUGCCAACAAAACAAACCCCGGCGCUGAAUGCGUCAAGGAAUUAAAAUUUAGCUCUGAGCGCAACCUGCAUGGCAUGCAUCGGAGACGGUGUUCGUGCGGGUUACGUUUUGACACAUUAUAUAGAAUGACUCUCGGCAACGGAUAUCUAGGCUCUUGCAUCGAUGAAGAACGCAGC
RNAcentral lists this ribosomal RNA (325 nucleotides) under Trigonella environmental sample. RNAcentral's name for it is "partial 18S ribosomal RNA". The stretch from base 277 to 325 matches the Rfam family "5.8S ribosomal RNA", at positions 1 to 49 of the family's 154-position model. The record is from RNAcentral. Lineage: Eukaryota; Viridiplantae; Streptophyta; Magnoliopsida; Fabales; Fabaceae.